This 253-nucleotide ribosomal RNA is filed under the name uncultured bacterium. RNAcentral's name for it is "partial 16S ribosomal RNA". It matches the Rfam family "Bacterial small subunit ribosomal RNA", at positions 524 to 776 of the family's 1533-position model. The record is from RNAcentral.
GACGAGCCUCACAAACGUUAUUCGGAAUUACUGGGCUUAAGGGGUGCGUAGGCGGCGCGGAAAGUUGGGUGUAAAAUCCCUCAGCUUAACUGAGGAACUGCGCCCAAAACUACCGUGCUUGAGGGAGAUAGAGGAAUGCGGAACUUACGGUGGAGCGGUGAAAUGCGUUGAUAUCGUAGGGAACACCGGUGGCGAAAGCGGCAUUCUGGACCUCUUCUGACGCUGAGGCACGAAAGCUAGGGUAGCGAACGGG